AUUGAACGCUGGCGGAAUGCUUUACACAUGCAAGUCGAACGGUAGAGGGGGCAACCCCUUGAGAGUGGCGAACGGGUGAGUAAUAUAUCGGAACGUGCCCAGUCGUGGGGAUAACGUAGCGAAAGUUACGCUAAUACCGCAUACGAUCUAAGGAUGAAAGCGGGGGAUCGCAAGACCUCGCGCGAUUGGAGCGGCCGAUAUCAGAUUAGGUAGUUGGUGAGGUAAAGGCUCACCAAGCCGACGAUCUGUAGCUGGUCUGAGAGGACGACCAGCCACACUGGGACUGAGACACGGCCCAGACUCCUACGGAGGCAGCAGUGGGGGAAUUUUGGACAAUGGGCGCAAGCCUGAUCCAGCAAUGCCGCGUGCAGGAUGAA
This 377-nucleotide ribosomal RNA is filed under the name uncultured bacterium. RNAcentral's name for it is "bacterial SSU rRNA". It matches the Rfam family "Bacterial small subunit ribosomal RNA", at positions 30 to 412 of the family's 1533-position model. The record is from RNAcentral.